RNAcentral lists this ribosomal RNA (468 nucleotides) under uncultured bacterium. RNAcentral describes it as "partial 16S ribosomal RNA". It matches the Rfam family "Bacterial small subunit ribosomal RNA", at positions 28 to 507 of the family's 1533-position model. The record is from RNAcentral.
GACGAACGCUGGCGGCGUGCUUAACACAUGCAAGUCGAACGGAAAGGCCCUGCUUUUGUGGGGUGCUCGAGUGGCGAACGGGUGAGUAACACGUGAGUAACCUGCCCUUGACUUUGGGAUAACUUCAGGAAACUGGGGCUAAUACCGGAUAGGAGCUCCUGCUGCAUGGUGGGGGUUGGAAAGUUUCGGCGGUUGGGGAUGGACUCGCGGCUUAUCAGCUUGUUGGUGGGGUAGUGGCUUACCAAGGCAUUGACGGGUAGCCGGCAUGAGAGGGUGAACGGCCACAUUGGGACUGAGAUACGGACCAGACUCCUACGGGAGGCAGCAGUGGGGAAUAUUGCACAAUGGGCGGAAGCCUGACGCAGCAACGCCGCGUGCGGGAUGACGGCCUUCGGCUUGUAAACCGCUUUCGCCUGUGACGAAGCGUGAGUGACGGUAAUGGGUAAAGAAGCACCGGCUAACUACGUG